AGCGACUGUGCAGGUUACCGCGGCUGCUGGCACGGAGUUAGCCGGUGCUUCUUCUGUGAGUGAUGUCCUUCCUGCCGGCUAUUAACCCGCAGGCCUUCUUCCUCACUGAAAGUGCUUUACAACCCGAAGGCCUUCUUCACACACGCGGCAUGGCUGGAUCAGGGUUGCCCCCAUUGUCCAAUAUUCCCCACUGCUGCCUCCCGUAGGAGUCUGGGCCGUGUCUCAGUCCCCAGUGUGGCUGAUCAUCCUCUCAGACCAGCUACGGAUCGUCGCCUUGGUGAGCCGUUACCUCACCAACCAGCUAAUCCGACAUAGGCUCAUCCGAUAGCGCGAGGCCCGAAGGUCCCCCGCUUUCCCCCGUAGGGCGUAUGCGGUAUUAGCCUGGGUUUCCCCAGGUUAUCCCCCACUACCGGGCAGAUUCCUAUGCAUUACUCACCCGUCCGCCGCUCGCCACCAGGGAUCAAGCUCCCCGUGCUGCCGCUCGACUUGCAUGUGUUAGGCCUGCCGCCAGCGUUCAAU
This 519-nucleotide ribosomal RNA is filed under the name uncultured bacterium. RNAcentral's name for it is "partial 16S ribosomal RNA". The record is from RNAcentral.